Molecule: long non-coding RNA, 2359 nt
Organism: Acanthopagrus latus (yellowfin seabream)
Lineage: Eukaryota; Metazoa; Chordata; Actinopteri; Spariformes; Sparidae
Exons: 5
Source: RefSeq, a predicted model, not a curated record
ACAUAUAUGUGGAUUUAUGUUACAUUUAUAUUAAUCAUGAAACGUUUAUGUGUGGAUCAGAAAAAAUAUAGGUGAAACUUUUUUUACAUUUACAUAUAUUGAAAACUUUUUGUGUGUGCAUUGAAAUAUAUUUGUGUGUAGAGAGUCAUUUAUAUAUAAAUCACAAAACACACUGGUGAGUCUUUCGCUGUGCAUUUAUUAUUUAUGAGACUGAUCUGAAUCCAUACAAACUCUUCAACCUGAAGGUUGACGAUUUUAGGCCCUGUAUAUUCCACAUGCAUAUUGAAAGGGAUUUCAUUGUAUAAGACAGGUGACCGCUGGGGGUCUUUCCUCUGUUGCGUCUUCACUGAGUGGUGGGGGCUCAGUAGUUGGAAGGCUGGGGGGCAUUUCUACAGUCUGUGUUCUGUGCUGUAGUUGUAGUUCCACCUGACGGCUGAUAAUUCCCUCGUCAUGUCGUCUCUCAUCUGCGCUAUUUCUCUUCUCACGAUGUCUUUUGUUUCUCUCAGCUCUGUGUUGAGGGCCUGUUUAUCCUUCUGCAGGUUGGAGAUCUGUUCCCUGAGUUCUUGUGUAGUAGUGUCCAUCUGGUGCUUAUUUUGGUUGAGUUGUUCCUGGAGGUCAGGGUGUGUUGUGGUGCUGGUGGGGAGUAGCUGUUCUCUCAGCUCGGUCAGCUCCACCUCUAGCAGAGCCAGUCUGUCUCUCAGGAGGCUGAUGGUGUGCUGCUCUGGAUGCUGCUUGUUCGGCUCAGAUAAGGCAGGUCACCCUUCUAAUUGAUUCAGGCAGAUGGAGGGCCCUGACAGGUGACUUGUGUAUUACCUCCGGUGCAACAAAGGGUACGAUGUACUGCCCGUCCACCUGAAAAGGGCGUGCAUGAAGGACAACACGCCACAAGAAUGGGAUGCCGAAGUAAACCGGGCCAGACGGUCUCAAAGAGAGGGGACCAGGGUCGGUAGAUGCUGGGAGUAACAGGAACUGUGCUUCGUGGUUCCAGGUGAAGCGUCUCGCCAGUCCCUGGUACGCUGCCACCAAAGCAAAGGAUUCUGUGUUGUCUAUGAACAGAGCAUCGCAGCCAUCUGAUCCGAGUGGAGGGCAGCCUGAGAGCUAAGUAGGCUUUGUUGAAGAUGAGCAAACAAAGAGCCAGAGUGUGACUGUCCCUUAUGAGCCACACAGUUGGGAUCAGAGAUAACAACCAUCCUGUGCUGUGCUUCAUGUGCAACAUUUCCUGCAUGGGAGACAUGAAUAGCAGACCCAUGCUCACCAUUUGGAGCGUCCAGACUCCAGAGUGAGUUGUUAUGGGCUGACAUGUGCAAAUGUGCAUGUCACAGACUGAGGAGGAAAAAGAGUGCCAAGACGCAUAAUGGCACCAAAGGAAUAUUGCAAAAUAAGAAUAGUAAUUUAAAAAAUUGUACAUAAACCAAAGAGCGUCCCUGUUCCUCACACACCUUCUGUGAAGAAGACCAAGUCAGUCUCCAGUGCAGAGGAAGAGGACAAGGAUUUGUUUGUUCUGCAUGUUCGUGGUCAUGAACCACAGCUGGACUAGGUGAGAUGGAUGAGGGGAAGGGGAGGCAGGAGAAGGAUAGACCCGCGGCAGCCACUGGCCACAGUGUGGGUCUCCCUUUGAAAGACUGCCAUUGAAGACAACCAAGAUCAAGUCAGUGGUGGAGGAAAGGUGAUCACAUCGAAGGAUUUUUGAGAGCCCAAGGGUAAAGGUGUCAUUGCCACCAUGCCCUUCUCCAAAGGGGACGUAAUCUGUGACUACCAUGGAAAGCUGAUCUCAGAAUCAGAGGGGAAGGAGAAGAUGGAAGACAUGCAGGAGGGAACGAUGUGCUACCUCUUCUUCAUUAAGGGCAGGCUCGGCACCAAGAUGUGCGCUGAUUCCUCAGACCUUCCCCCGCGAGGGUCACCCUGGCACGGACACUUUCAGUAGAAGGAUGAACCACUCUUUCAAGGCUUUCAAUGUGAAGCCUGUGGUCUUCCAAUUGAACUUUCCAGAUGGACCCAAAGACACUGUCCUCUUAUUGGCCACGAGAGAAAUAUCCAUCAAUGAUGAGCUGUGUUUGGACUAUGGUGUGAGACGGGCGUCCUUCAGAGGCGAAGGCAUGGACCUGGACUGGUUGGAUGAAUGAAAAGACGUGUGGUGUAAUCUUUGAAGACUGUUGUUGUUAAGUUCCUGUUAUGUUUGUUUGUUUGUUGUUGCUGUCAGUGGUAUGAUGAUAGUCCUCAGUGUUAUGAUUAGCAGUUUGCAUAUGUUGAUUCAUUGUUGACACUUGUUGUUGUUUGCUUUGUCUUGUUCACAUUUGUUGUUGUUGUUUUGUAUGUUCACACGUGUUGUUGUUGUUGUUGCUGUUUAGAAUCAUGGUUU